UACGUAGGGUGCGAGCGUUGUCCGGAAUUAUUGGGCGUAAAGAGCUCGUAGGCGGUCUGUCGCGUCUGCUGUGAAAUCCCGAGGCUCAACCUCGGGCUUGCAGUGGGUACUGGCAGGCUAGAGUGCGGUAGGGGAGAAUGGAACACCUGGUGUAGCGGUGGAAUGCGCAGAUAUCAGGAAGAACACCCGUGGCUAAGGCGGCUCUCUAGUACGGUACUGACGCUGAGACGCGAAAGCGUGGGGAGCGAACAGG
Molecule: ribosomal RNA, 253 nt
Filed under: uncultured bacterium
Lineage: Bacteria
Description: partial 16S ribosomal RNA
Rfam family: Bacterial small subunit ribosomal RNA
Source: RNAcentral